Molecule: ribosomal RNA, 220 nt
Filed under: uncultured bacterium
Lineage: Bacteria
Description: partial 16S ribosomal RNA
Rfam family: Bacterial small subunit ribosomal RNA
Source: RNAcentral
GACGGGGGGGGGCAAGUGUUCUUCGGAAUGACUGGGCGUAAAGGGCACGUAGGCGGUGAAUCGGGUUGAAAGUGAAAGUCGCCAAAAAAGUGGCGGAAUGCUCUCGAAAACCAAUUCACUUGAGUGAGACAGAGGAGAGUGGAAUUUCGUGUGUAGGGGGUGAAAAUCCGUAGAUCUACGAAAGGAAACGCCCAAAAAAGCGAAAGGCAGCUCUCUGGGG